Long non-coding RNA from Leptinotarsa decemlineata (Colorado potato beetle), 373 nucleotides. The record is from RefSeq and is a predicted model, not a curated record. Lineage: Eukaryota; Metazoa; Arthropoda; Insecta; Coleoptera; Chrysomelidae.
UAAAUUUGUAAAAUUGUUGUCUCAAACGUUAUACAAAUCUAGAUUAAAAUCUCCACAAAGUAUAAUGGAUACCUCAUAGAUGUCUACAGAAUAUCUGAAAUUCAGUUUAUACAAGAAGGGGAAGGUACAGAAAAAACUCCUGAUUCGAAACAUUUAUUUCUUGUUCCAUCAAUUUAAUACAUACCACACGAAAAAUAAACACCAACCAAUAGCACUCAAAGGUGAAAGAGGGCACUAUCGUUGUGAAAUUGUAUUGUACUGUACACAACAUUCUGCAAAAAUAACUGCACACCCACGACUAUUGUAAAAGUGCUAAGCCUAAAUAAAUAAUACAUUUUUGAAUUAUUUACAAAACAUCCUAAUCCUAAAAAAA